This is a long non-coding RNA of Camelina sativa (false flax), 861 nucleotides long. RefSeq lists it as uncharacterized. NCBI's taxonomy places the organism in Eukaryota, Viridiplantae, Streptophyta, Magnoliopsida, Brassicales, Brassicaceae. The record is from RefSeq and is a predicted model, not a curated record.
UCUCUAAAAUGAAAUGACAAUGUUUGACGAUGAGUUUUUAUUUUUGGUAAAGUAGAAAUCUUCGACCUCAACAAAGAGACUCCGGCAAAUCCGACGAAGCUCCGGCGAGUCCUGGUUCCUGAAGGAUUUUGGUCAGCCACUUGCUUAACCGAUCUCAGUCUCCUUAAUCGAUAAGUUCAUUACAGCAAUAUAUAUAUAGCAGUACGCCUACAGUAGUACUUUAGACUUUAGUAUUAACCAAUUUAAAGUAAAAACUCUUACUACUUAGACAUUGACUUUGUUUUUGCCUUAACUAACGAAACCCAAUAAUAAUUGGGUCUUGACUUGCUUCUGGCCCAUCUGGCCUCUUCCUUUCUUCGUUGACAAAGUGUGGGUUGUUCUUCUCUUCGUGUUCCUCCUCUUCGCUUCUUCUUCUUUCAAUGAUUGAUCAAAGAUUGAUUAUUCUUACUAACUCUCUUGCUUGAUUCUCUUGCACAAGAUUGAUCAAAGAUGAUAAUCCAACAGUUCCUACUCCGAGCCUUUACCGGCACCUCUUAUGCGGACUGGAUCUGGUGCUUCUCAAGAUAAGUCUCAGGCUCCCACCAUUGUCGCCACCACUCAAAGGAAGUGCAGCCAUUUCCGUUUGAAACCGUAAACAAAGUGAAGAAAGUAUGAAGGUACUAUGAUCCAGCCUUCAUGAAUAGCAUGUAUUUAUAGCAUUUAAUGAUUAAGUAGGUAAUUAAAUCUUUACCAUAUAUAUAUUUUGAUUUGAAUCAGUUAAGGAUAAAAUUUUCGUAGAAUUCCUAAUUGUUUGCAAUGAAUUGAGGAACAAUACAUUUUGUAUGAUAUUAAGAAUAUUUUCAAAUGACUGUUAUCUUUUCA